GCGGCACUGCGCAACUGGCGAUGGGGCGCCGCGGAACACAUCCGCGGGCCUGAGGUGGUGAACCACCGGGGAGCGCAGCCGGCCCAGGGCAAAAGCCCGGUCCGUUUCAGCCGUUCGCCUGGGCAGCCCUG
This 131-nucleotide non-coding RNA is filed under the name Rhizobacter sp. Root1221. Its description in RNAcentral is "ZMP/ZTP riboswitch aptamer (pfl RNA motif)". It matches the Rfam family "ZMP/ZTP riboswitch aptamer (pfl RNA motif)". Rfam says of the family: Previously known as pfl RNA. ZMP is also known as AICAR. The record is from Rfam by way of RNAcentral. Lineage: Bacteria; Pseudomonadati; Pseudomonadota; Betaproteobacteria; Burkholderiales; Sphaerotilaceae. RNAcentral also lists the same sequence under 1 other name.